Molecule: non-coding RNA, 74 nt
Organism: Pangasius djambal
Lineage: Eukaryota; Metazoa; Chordata; Actinopteri; Siluriformes; Pangasiidae
Source: the annotation of a GenBank genome assembly
GAUAGUGGUAGCUCAGUGGCUAAGGUGUUGGACUUCUACUCAGAAGGUCAUGAGCUCAAAUCCCAGUUCUACCA